RNAcentral lists this long non-coding RNA (212 nucleotides) under Mytilus galloprovincialis (Mediterranean mussel). The record is from RNAcentral. Lineage: Eukaryota; Metazoa; Mollusca; Bivalvia; Mytilida; Mytilidae.
GUGAGAGAAGAUAAAAUUGAGAAUGGAAAUGGGGAAUGUGUCAAAGAGACAACAACCCGACCAAAUAAAAAACAACAGCAGAGGGUCACCAACAGGUCUUCAAUGUAGCGAGAAAUUCCCGCACCCGGAGGCGUCCUUCAGCUGGCCCCUAAACAAAUAUAUACUAGUCCAGUGAUAAUGAACGCCAUACUAAUUUCCAAAUUGUACACAAG